UACGGAGGGUGCAAGCGUUAUCCGGAUUCACUGGGUUUAAAGGGUGCGUAGGUGGGCAGGUAAGUCAGUGGUGAAAUCUCCGGGCUUAACCCGGAAACUGCCAUUGAUACUAUCUGUCUUGAAUACCGUGGAGGUGAGCGGAAUAUGUCAUGUAGCGGUGAAAUGCUUAGAUAUGACAUAGAACACCAAUUGCGAAGGCAGCUUACUGCGCGGUUAUUGACGCUGAGGCUCGAAAGCGUGGGGAUCAAACAGG
RNAcentral lists this ribosomal RNA (253 nucleotides) under uncultured bacterium. RNAcentral's name for it is "partial 16S ribosomal RNA". It matches the Rfam family "Bacterial small subunit ribosomal RNA", at positions 524 to 776 of the family's 1533-position model. The record is from RNAcentral.